This 245-nucleotide ribosomal RNA is filed under the name uncultured Methanoculleus sp. RNAcentral's name for it is "partial 16S ribosomal RNA". It matches the Rfam family "Archaeal small subunit ribosomal RNA", at positions 474 to 718 of the family's 1478-position model. Lineage: Archaea; Methanobacteriati; Methanobacteriota; Methanomicrobia; Methanomicrobiales; Methanomicrobiaceae. The record is from RNAcentral.
UACCGGCGGCUCGAGUGGUGACCAUUUUUAUUGGGCUUAAAGCGUUCGUAGCUGGGUUGUUAAGUCUCUUGGGAAAUCUGACGGCUUAACCGUCAGGCGUCUAAGAGAUACUGGCGAUCUUGGGACCGGGAGAGGUGAGAGGUACUCCGGGGGUAGGAGUGAAAUCCUGUAAUCCUCGGGGGACCACCUGUGGCGAAGGCGUCUCACCAGAACGGCUCCGACAGUGAGGGACGAAAGCUGGGGGA